This 85-nucleotide transfer RNA is filed under the name Clostridia bacterium. Its description in RNAcentral is "tRNA-Leu". It matches the Rfam family "tRNA". Rfam says of the family: Transfer RNA (tRNA) molecules are approximately 80 nucleotides in length. Their secondary structure includes four short double-helical elements and three loops (D, anti-codon, and T loops). Lineage: Bacteria; Bacillati; Bacillota; Clostridia. The record is from RNAcentral.
GCGGUCGUGGCGGAAUUGGCAGACGCUCAGGACUAAGGAUCCUGUAUCGCAAGAUGUGGAGGUUCAAGCCCUCUCGACCGCACCA